Molecule: long non-coding RNA, 22132 nt
Filed under: Citrus maxima (pomelo)
Lineage: Eukaryota; Viridiplantae; Streptophyta; Magnoliopsida; Sapindales; Rutaceae
Description: long non-coding RNA (CMAX_LNC003773)
Source: RNAcentral
UUUUUUUUUCCCUACAGGCCCAGUCCUUCUCUUUCCUCUGUUACGGAUCUCUCUCCUGGGGAACCUUCCGCCCUGUCUUUUUAUCCUAUCCCGACGGGGGCAUAGCUAGCUUCUUUUUGGUUAGCGGAGGGAUGGCUAUUCAAGGAUUCGAAGCUUUAUCUGGUUUCUACCCGCAGGCUGAUUCCGUUGAGUCAACAUCCCCGGUACCCUUGAGUGAAUGACCUAACCAACGGGUAGAUGGAUAGGAGGGUUGGUCCACGACCCCUCGAUGCAUUCCAGAAUCCGUUACUGGAUAGCCCCCCUGAAUUCCAUCCAGCCUCCUCAUCCCAUCCCUCCCGAGGCCCACACGCACGGGCCCCGAAACCGUAUUAGAUUCUAGUCUUCCACCCACCCCGGGCAAUGACUGUUCACAUGAUGCACAUUUCUUAAAGAAUGGUGAUUAGGAAAGGAAGAUCACUUAAUGAAAGGAAAGAUCAAUCCGGGAGGGUGCACAGAGGAGAGGUUAAUGGUUGAAGGCUGGGCCAAUGGCCAAUAAAGAAAAAAAAGGUGGGCAAGGAAGGCUCAACUAGCUAGAUCCUAAGAUCUCGAUCCACAGCUUAGUAAUCCGCAGACGCUUCAUACGAAGCCGAAUCCGCUGAAUCAGGGGAAUCCACCGAUCCAGGUAGGUGAGUUGGUAUAUAACCAAAGUAAGAGCAGAAGGAAAACUCAACCAGAAGACCUGCUAACCCAAGCGCCCACGAAGAGAGAUUUCGAAUAUUGAACUAAGUAGGUAGUAGGCCUUUGUUGUAAAAGCCUUUGAAUAUCUUCCAUCUUCUCCUUGGCAAGAGCAGUCCUACUUGAAAAAUCUGAAAAAUGGUCCUUAUUUAGUUUUGUUUUCUGAGAGCCACCUUCACUUUAGAUUUUGCAAUUUGGAGCAUAAUUGGAACAUGGGGGGAACCUUCUACCUCUUCUUGCCAAAUCUUUUCCACCAACGGUAAAAAUUCAGGAUGAUCGACCCAAAAAUCAAAGAAAAAGAACUUGAAUGCUUUCUUUGCUCUGGGAAGGUCAGCCAGCUCAGCCUGGGAAAUAGUAUCCUCCAAGCUGCUCAUCCAACUAGGCCAAUCCUGUGAGCCUCCAGCCCUCUCAUUCAUUCUUCUAACCGCAUUGAAGUCACCCACAACCAACCACGGUCUACCACUAAUUCCAGAAGCAAACGAGACCAGAUUAUCCCACUUUGUUUCCCUUUUCCUAUAGCAAUUAUCUCCAUAUACUAUAGAAAGCGUACAACACCAGGGGUUAGACAAAUCUCUCACCAAGCAAUGAAUAACCUGUUCCUCCUGAUCAAGCACAGACACAUCCAGCCUAGAAGGAUUCCAACAAACCCAUAUUCUCCCCCUUGGGGAAAGAUUCUAGUUCCAACUAGCAUGCCAUCCCGGGGCUAUAGCUCUCAAAACUCUGUCUUUAUUCACUUCCUUUAUUUUCGUCUCAAUUAACGCAACAAAAGAAAGCUUGUGCUCUAGAAUCAAUUUCCUCACUUCAUUUUGCUUCAUAGGGUCGUUAAGACCCCUAAUAUUCCACACACCAAGAAAGAUGGGGACAAAGGGUAGAACAAAACUAGAGCACGAAUCCCAGGGGGAGUAACUCCCUUAGACACUUUCUGGGGGUUGCCCUUCUUGUCCAGGGAAUCUUUGCCCCUUACACCUAAGGAGUUCAACUCAGGAGAGGCUGUGGACGGGUCUGAGCAACCUGGACUGAUUGAGCUAGAAGGCUUAACGGGGGUUGACGGCGUGCCGAUAGCCAGGUCUGCGGGUCGCUGCAUCCGAUAGGAAGAGCUUCAUAGAACCUGAAAACUAUUUAGGCAACUUUAGAUGCAUUCUCUCAAUUCUCAAUUUCUCGGUCGAAGGUAGUACUCUGAACUUGCUGAUCUCUCGGGCAAUGAAUAUACUUGCGGGGUUAUAUCCCAUACGAAGAAGACCAAAAUGGGUCGGGCAACCCCCAAUCUUGAUGAGUCGAAAUUUCGUUUUUUGGCCAGUAACGAGUUCUAGGCUUUAGGCCAGUUCAAGAAAGAAGGUUGGGCUAAAGCCCCUUCCUCGUCCACUUGGUGGGGUGAGUAAACUGAGUCUACUGAUAUAAGAAGUAGACUUCGUUCCACCGGUUCUUCAGUCUUGUUACGAUUCACCGAAAGCACAAAUGUGAUCACGUAUCUAAUGUCCAUUGACCCACCUUCCGGAUAUAUGAGGCUACCGGAACCAAACCAUGAUUCCUUUACACCUGGGGCUACUGAGAGAGAGAAAUCUCCGAACCAGACCCAGGACCUCUUCUUCACCGGGAUAUGAGCUAAACUUCAACGACAGGACGUGGGCUAAUCAAAAAACUCAUUUGAUUUCGAGAAGGUCAAAGACAUGAGAAGAAUAAGCAAUCAAAGAGGUACGGUCAAAUCAAUGCUUUCAAUCAGCUUUAACCAAUUCUUUGAUUGCUCAGUCGAAAGAUGAAGGGGUAUCCGCAGGUCUCGUAGAUAUGCUUGGAUGGGACUCCUCUGAGUCCCCAGUGGAGACAGUCUAGACAAAAAGAAAGAGUAUACAUUUUUUUAGCAGGAGAAGCGAUGUCUGGCACAAGUUCCUGCUCCCCUUGAAUCUUAAUAUAAUAGGUAUGGUGGGCUGGGCUCUUCUAUCUCUUACUCGACCUAGCUUUCUCUCCAUAUAAAUUCGUAGCAGUCUUCUUAGUACUUCUCUUCUUAACAGUCGACCCUCUCUCUAUUCCUUCUCAUAAGUAACUUCCAGAUAAUAACUAAGAAGCGCGCCCGAGCCCAAAUUACACGAGAUGUUCUUAUCCGAGAUUUCACUCCUGAAACCACGAAGAAAGCGUAUUUAAGUAACUAACCUAACCUACGCGGGCAAUCUUCUCUUCUUCUCAUACCCAAUGAAGCUUCUUUCUUCUGACGUUCAGUCCUACCUCAAAUGGAGAAGCCCUAUUCUCAAGCAAGUAGCAGUGCUCACUUUCCCAAUAAGGAAAAAAUAAGCACAGAAACUCCAGACUGACCUAAAAAUCCUUCCGAGACCGGUCGAGCUGGUCUAUCUUUUCUCUUUAUUUGCCUCUGCCUUGAGACUCUCUCUGUUUGGAACAGUGUGUGAGCCCUGACAAUUGACCUGACAUUUUAGGUGCACCUUUACGCGAGGCAAAUCGAAACCUCCAUAGUGUUAGUGAUUCUUCAUUCAUGUAGGGCCCCUUUCUCUUCUUAGCCUCUUUCUUUAGCCAUCCUGACCGACCCCCUAAACGAGGAGUAAGCGUUGAAGGGGUCUACUGACUUCAAAAUCUUUUAAAAGCAAAAAAGGUCUAUCAGACUCACACUGCUCGAGUCUAGUAGACUCUGAUCGGGGCUACCUUACUAUAGGAAUUCCGCAGAUAUAGACUAAAAUAAAAUCAAGACAGCUUCCUAUCUCGAAUCCAAAGAACAAACAGGCUGGUGUGUGUCAAUACGAAAACGAAUCUUCUGUCCAGUCCAUGAAAGGUAUCUCGUUUGUAUGUGCCUCCCUCUCAAAACAAAAGAAGUGAACCAAAAGAAAAAAUAAAAAACUGUAUACGCAACGGCGGCUUAGUUGCUACCGUACCGCUCAUCAGUCUCAAUCCCUAUCCCGGAGAGUAAAGGCGUUCAUUUGACUUUCAAAAUGGAAAGAAGCACUAUGUCACUGACGUUUCAUACACAGAAAGCUUUCUCUUUAUUAUUAUAUAAAGCAAUACCGACGAGCAAGGUAGCUUAUUGAAUGCCGACUACUACGAGAGGUAUAGCUUACUCACUCACAUAUCGACCGGCAUAUGAGCACUUUAUUUAAAUUGAGUAAUUUAGGUCCAAGAUUGAUCAAUCUCAAUGGGAAAAGCACGAGAUUUCAUUUUUUUAUCCAAAAGAUGUAGAUCUCUUAAGCCUACCGUCUAGGUAAGAUGCCAGCUUUCCUAUCUCUUAAAGCUAUUCCUUAGAUACAGAACCACUUCAAAUCAAAACAAAACGGGGGGCUUAAACUUUCUCAUAAAAACAAGGCGAUUUGAGAGUCCGGUCAAGCGUAAAUUCAAUGUAAAAAAGGUUUCAAGGAGAAUAGGGCACAGAGAGACCUAACCCCUUUCCGACGAGAUAGGCCUUUAAACUACAGAGUUCAAUGAAGAAAUGGAAUGAGCUAGCGGUUAAAGGUCAACUGAGACCCGGAAACUCGCGUAGGUCCACAUAUAUGAGUCUACUCCGGCAGUUCUUAUAACUUAGAACCGAGACAGGCUAUCCGUUAGCGCGGGUUGGAGCAUUCUAUUCUUCUGGUUACUAUAAUUACUAAGCUACUCCUCUUUUACCAGAUAGAGAAAGGGCCUCGACUUACCCUGUCAGUGAGAACAGGUACGCCUUUUCCUACAGCACUGACGUCCGGGGAAAAGCCGGUAUGGGAGCUAGUCUCAAAAGCAGGAGUUGUAGCCUUUCAAGAUUAUGAGAACGGGAUCCAACCCUGUUAGGGUUUCAAGCUUUAGGCCUGGUGCUUAGGCUGUCAGGCAGGCGGAAUUCAUACUUUUUGAAUUGAGAGAGGGGUUCAGAGAAAGACUCGUUGGAAGCUUCCAGUCUCACCACACCACCAUCUUUUUCAUUUCAAACUUGCAUAGCAACAGGGGCGAUCAGUUGAAUCUGAUCGGUAGGGGCUGCAUAUCGCUGUUCGCCUGGUCGGUACUAUCCGUUCCUUUUAGUGUCCCCCACCGCAACCCCAUUACUCGAUCAGGGUAUCUAAGCCACUGCUCUAUUCCCGACUCGAAAUCCAUAAAGGACUUUAAGGGAGAACUGUUCUCUCUAUCUCAGGUGCUUUCCCUACUACCGGCACAAGAGGGACUUUUUCUCUAAAGCCUACUUCCUCUCUCUGAUCUCCAAACCCAUUUUUCUCUCUAAAGAUUUUUGCUGAGGAGGUGUUCAUGAUAAUCCCCUCAUCAGGUUUCUCGGAGGCUUCUACCCCGGCCUGAAAUCACUCCACUUCCAUCUCCGAGAAGUGUAUCCGAUGAAUUUCUUCCUAAAACGGUGUCUGUUAUGGUCGCAGCAGCUGAUGCUGCCUCCACAUCAAACUUUGUUCCUCCACCUGCUAACAACACUAUACUAUAUAGGAAGAGCCGGCACAACUUCAGUUUCUUUUUCUUCCAACCAAUGCUUGCCAUGGCCAGUGCUUCCUUGUUCUUAUCUCCGUAGAAAGCGAAAAGAGACAAGGGAUUUCCUAUAGUAAAAAAAUAUGGGUUCGCCUGUUCAUUCAAUACCAUAAUAAAAACUAGUAGAGCCAGGGGAUAGUGACCAGUGACGAGUGACCAUAGGGCUUUGGUAACCGGAGGAGUAGUUGCCUAGUAGCCAGCUGACUUACGAGUACCAGCAACACUGACGGUUACGCUUUCUUAUACCGAUUCCUAUUUCUAACAAGCUCUGCUAUUCCUAUGAAUAGCCUGCUCCAAACCUGAGCUGAGUUGACCCAGAGGAACCCCUGAAUAAUAUCAUCAAUCACCUUCCACCAGAAGUCACCUAUAACAUCGUCCAGGAAAGGCUCCUCGCCUACAAUGCCCAUGAGGAAGAAUAACUAACUAUUUUUCAUAUGCCUUUGAUAUAAGAAAAAAGACUCUGAGCUUAGGCUCAAAACAAAGAAAGUCGGGUAGAGGUCCUUUCAAGGAAAUGGGAUUCGUAUUAUUAACCUUAACCUAAGGUUACCGAAAGAAAGACAACAAGCCUGAAAAGAAGAAGCUUGCUCUUCUGACCCUUUUGCGUGCUAUUCCUUUUAAAGUGGUGCAAACGGUCUCAAAGAACCGAAGUGGGACCUUUCUAGGAAGUAGGGUGGAUUUGUGACAACUUUCGUCACCGUCUUUCUAAGUGGUAUGGUACGCUAGGUAGUUGACGGGCAUUUAACUGCGGUCUGGUUUCAAAGACUGGACACCUAGAAGUAUACUACUGGAUUGAAGGCCUUUUGACGUUGGGAUGAUGACGAGUCUCUGCCUGCAGACUAACACUCUGGAGACUACGGGUCCCUACGGUGCAACCCCGCUUAGGUCGGAAGCCAUCCCAGCCCGGGCGAAUUGGGUCUUUGCAUUAACCUCAAAAGGAUAAAAAGCGCAUCAGGUAUAGGAAGGACUUCUUAUAGGAGCACAGGAGAACAACCUAUAUCAAGGAUGGUAGCUGACUAGCACUCACAAAAAGGCACUUAUGGGAUGAGUUCCUUGAUUGGCUAGUCAAGGGAUUCUCCGGAGAGCUAUUACUUAAGAUUAAAUAAGGAAUUUCCUAACCACGAAAGGUGGUAUGGUCCCAAUGAAAGUGUCUCUUAGCUGGUUUACAGGCUUCGGAAAAAAAGAAGAAAAUAACAACCCACUGUCAUAACUCCAAGAGUUAAUUGCCGUAACUGCUCAGGAUGUUAUUUGUCGAGUUGACUGGUUUUAGUUCAGACAGCUGAAACAGGAUCGUAAACCGCCCCCCUUCCGUGGGGGGUGGGGAUUCAGACCGAUGAGGGACGUAGGAAUUUUACUUAACUGUCCGGAAGGCUGAAAUUGCUUUCUCGGGAGCCUUUGGGAGGUCGGGGUAUUCCAUCCCAUGAUACUCAAGGAGCAAGGCGUCGUAUCCUAGGGGUUCUACUAAUACAUCGUAAAGCGGAUCCAGGUUUUGGGUUAUACCCCAGAAAGCACUAUAUCCCUGCUAAAAACAGACUCUGGAAGCGGUUUUUGCUAGGAUGAAUGCUACUUCUAUGUAUUUCCCAUCGCAUUUUCAUAAGGUUUCAUAUCCCCUCUUUUCUUCAUUUGGUGAAGGUUAAUAUGUGGCAUGAGCCCGCCACCCUCUCGAUUGAGAUCUAUUCCCCUCUUUGACUGGAAAUGCUUCAUUGACUGAUCCACUAAUCUACGACCACCCUUACCUCUCUUGUUAGGCGUGUCCCUUUCAUAUUAGGCGUGCUAUUAAUAACUGAGAUAUCCACUAACCUAUUAACUAAACUAGACCGCUUUUAGGAAGGAUUCCUGGACUGGACUGACUGACCUAAAGCAAGGAAGGCAAGGACGGACAGGAACAAGAAUAGGUUUGACUAAAGCAAGUCCAGUUCCGAAACGAAAGCGAGAUCGAUCGAUCCUUGCCCCGCCUACCCUGUCAUCAUAAUCAAAGUGGAAACGUGCAACAAAUUUAAGGCUAGGUCUGCCUUACCUUAAUAUUAAUAUAAAGUAAAGAUGAAAUGAAGUCAAAGUUCCUCGAUUUUCUAUUUUUAUGAAAGGAAAUCUUAAGAGUUAGCUAUAUCUAGCCGUGCUGGUGAAAGCCCUAAGUGCAGGUCAGGUUCCGGUUCCUGUGAAAGAGAAAGUUCCUAUCUUAAAAAAAGACGUCUAGUGAGUCUCAUCUUUCGCAAGUUGACGUGAGACUCGCAUUGAUCUACCAGACGUCGAUGAGCUUUUGGUAUCAGAUGCUUACGACUUGCCUAUGUGAUUGGCCGUGUGGAGUAGGCGUAAAGAACGAGUUGCUCCGGUAGUAGCAACUAAAUGAAAUGACUUUACGAAAUCUUCCUUCACGGGGCCUCUUCCUUUCCUAAAAUGCUGGAUCGGAUAUCGUCAAUCGAAUUUAAGUACGCACGCGAAGAGCGAUCCUUCUUAGCCCGUUCAUGAAGUCCUUUGUUGCCUAACAAAAAUCCAAAAUCCGAAUCGGAAAGAUCAGGUUCGAGAUGGCAAGUCCGGUUAGGGCAGGUCUUUUACUACCUAUAUUCCAACUACGAAGGACAGGCUCCUUUUUCCCUUUAUCCAUCCCUUUUUCAGAAAAUUAUCCCUCCCUCCUAGGGAAAGCUACUCGAUCUGCUAAGCAACCAAGCUACUCUAUCCAUCUAUCCAUAUUGGCUAGCCCUCUUCCUGAACUUCUCAGUUCAGAGAAAGAAAUCCGGUUCGGCUCCUCUUAGAGAUGGUGGGGAAGUAGCAAAAAACCAACAUGAAAUUCUACUAUGAGACCUCUCCCUCUGGUUCGAAAUUAUCCGCUUGAAGGGAAGGUUAUCCUACCUCACCGAGCAAGGGCAGCAAGGGAUGGCCCGCUAGUCCAGAUAGUUGUGGGAGGGGACUCCGGGUACAUCAGAGAUGAAUGCUUGUUUGUUACCGGCAGCUCUCUUUAAACAAAGAGUGAGGGCGCAUUUGCGGAAAAUGAGACUCGAUACAAUGGGCUGGCUAGCCUUUCUCUCCGGUUGACCGGGGCAGUAUCGACUCCAGCCGUUCCUCCAACGCUAGCAGGCAUUAGCCUGACUUCCCUCCUCACCAAGGUAAGGAAGAGAGCAUCGGGGACGGUUUUGUCUCAGCCGUGGUAAGGAACAACAAAACAAAAGAGAUGUUCUUCCGAAUGAGCGGAUUCAGCGGGGAAGAAAGCAGUACACCCUCUUCUUAAAAUAAGUUAGCCUCUAAAGGCUGACCCGUGAUGAUCCCUACAUCACGUAAUCGAAAAUUGGUGAAAUUCUGAAUACGGGUACGAGUUCAUCCAGAAGCGCUGGAAGGGCUGGAGGAAGGGGACGAACCGCAUCGAUUGAGUUAUAUCCGGCAGGGGAACCCCCACGUACCUAGAAAAGAAGGGGAAAGUCUUACCUUUUGGAAACAUAAGGUGCAUCAGAAAGGAUUCCGGAUAUAUUUUUAUAGCCAGAUUCACAAGCUGAGGACUAAGUCGAAGUGAAAGUCGGUGCCAUUGUUAGUGCCAAGACCCUAGAAUAGUGAACACCAAGUGAAGAGCCACCCUCCGGAACGUCGAGAAGGGGGAUGAACUGCUUUGAUUGGAUCCGAUCUGGUAGACAGAGACGAAGACAAGGAUGAAUAAUCUGAAGAAGGCUAUGCCGAAUUCGAGGGAAACUGUGAAGAAGAAGACUACGAAGAAGGAAGCCGAUGCCUAGGCCGAGGCUGGUGCCUAAUUCUAUGCUUGAAGCCUAAGCUAGAGCUGAAGCUGAAGCCUAAUUCUAAGUUUCAUCUAAAACUGAAGUUAGGGCUGGAGCCUGAGUUGGUGUUGAUGUCCUAGAGUAGCGAAACUACAAGUGAAGGGGCGCUAUCCGGAACCCUUAAGGUCGGGGACAAUCUGCUUCGAUUGGGCCUUGCAGGCAGACAGGCUAACUUGUGGAGACAAAAAGGAAUCCUAUAUAAGUGAGAAUGUCGAGUCCCGAGGGUCUGCAAGAGGCUGAGCUAACAAGCUGGCUGAAUAUAUCAUGGGGAUGCCCGAUUUGCGAUUGAGCUAGCUGAUAAGUAUGAUCUCUCCGAUCUGGCAUGAGCCACUCCAUUCCUACUUCCACUCAACAAAAAAGAUAGGAUUCUUGGGCCCUACCUCCAGAGUGGGAUAUGGAGGAGUGCGUGCGGCUAUUUCAGACCAAAGGGGGCCAAGGGGGAUCCCAUAAAUAUAAAUAAUAAGUAAGAAAGGGGAGCCACACCCGGGCUAUGAGCUAUUUCUUCUAACCAUCUUCUGUACCAGUUUUGAUCUUUUCUUCCAUAUCAGUCUGCUCGACUCAUUCUCUAUUUGCCAAUAGCUUAGCUUAUAAUCCAUAUCUCCUUUCUUUCGAGAAGGAUGAUCAGUUCCGUAAAUAUUGACCCCAAUUCAAGCGAUAGUAGCUUGCAUUCACCAAUCAUUCCCUCUUCAUCGCAACCGACGUCAAACAGAUUCACGGGACCUGUCGAAGAGCGGUUUUCAUGUAUAGAAUCUGAUCAUUGGAGAAAAAGCUGGAGAAGAAGGGCGCAUCAACUGCGUUAGGCUUUAUACUAAGAAGUGGGACACAUUUAAAAAAGCGUUGUCGCACCUUAACACUUUGUUUGCGGCAUUUCUUGGGUACGAGCGAGCUGCUUCCAUUGUUUGCCUCGCUAUCUAAGUGAGCGCUUUCGGGCAUAUGCUCCUACUGGGAUAUGGAUUGAAACCAGUACAACUCUCAGGCUGAGGAAACUUCCUACUUGCGCAUAUCCGCCCGCUCUGAGCGAGAAAACGAACACAUAUUGAUCAUUGACCUCUGCCAAGCCAAGCAUUAGUAGAGCAGUAAACCUGGCAUCUUAAGAUGUUUGAAAGGUUGGAGGAAUAAAUGCUAAUCUCAAAUGUCAUUUUCAUUUUCUGCGAGAUCAUCUUUGGGAAGACAGGGCACCAAUAUCUGAUAUGGAAAAUGCACUCUUCCACUAAUGUAAUGCCAGGGUGUUUCAACUCAUGGUAGGCUCGUCUCUCUGGCUAUAAGGGAAUGUUUAGAAUGUUAUAUGAGUCCCUUGUUGCCGCCUUGCUCAAGCAAUAAAGAGAUGAACUCGCAUGGGCUCAUGAGACCGGUUGUAGAGAGAGAGAUAUUUUGGAAGCCCGCCAAUUACAAUUAAGUGAGGCAAUCGAUCGGAACGCUAACGGCGAGGUGCCAACUCAAUAAUUGGUAAAUAGCCUACUAGAGCUAUGCAUCUAAGAAAAAGAAGUAGAGCACCUAGGCCAACAGAAACGAAGGAAGCAAGUGGGGCGAUCCCGGCAGAUGAGCCUGAGUUUGAAGCUUUCGAAAAGACAAUGUCCUAUGGUAUCGGCCAGGAGGCUCGUGAGUUGAUUCACGACUCGGUGAAUAAGAAAUAGAAUAAGUAGCUUCUGACUGGGGGUGAUUCAGAGUUUUGGAGGAAUUGAAAUAAUUUAGAUAAGUCGACCCUAUUCUAUUGGGUAAAAAGCUUUUAAGCAAGUAAGCGAGGAAAGUAGACUGAUGAUGUUCACCCGCGGGCCAGAUUCACAAUCAAGAUUCCUAGACGUAUCGUCCAGUUAUCCAAUUCAACAAGUUCAGAACACCCAAAAUAGCUAAAGCUGAGUGGCGAAUGGCCGGAUAUCUAAUCUCUGGGAGCAACCACCAUAUCUUUCCGCCGGAUCUACUCAAUUUGAGUAAUACCUCUUCCUAUUUUAGUAACAAGAGAAGGCCUUCCGCGCAUGAUCGAAUGGACUUUGAACCUAAUGUGUGUCUCAACUUCUAAUUGAGUGCUUGCACUGUCUUCGUUGGGGGUUUCGCUCCCUCUGCUUUGAGAAAGCAAAAACGAAGUGAUCUCGGCUUUUUCCUUUUUUGAAGUGGAGGAAAUCCUGUUCUUAUUCCCAGAAAUGGGUAACUCACGAACUAAAGAAUGAUUAUCGAACUAAAGAAUGAUUGUCUCUAUAUUCAAUAUAAAACUUUCUUUCUCAUCUUUGUAGAUCCCAGAGGAAUAAAUGGAGGAUUCCAAAACUGGAUUAGGAGACAUAGAUUCAAGCUUUGAGCGAGCGGUGCUUUCAUUAUGCGGUUCCUCUUUUAGUUAGCGAUUGUUCACCAAAAGAGAAUGCUUUCUUAGGUAGGCUCCAGGUGAGUUUCUACUGAGAUGUAAAACUGUGGGUAAUAGCGCAGUGCUUUCUAUGCUUAAUCGACGCCAGUAGUCUCACUUCCGAAAUGGGAUUUCGUCAGACUCGUAGGAUCAUCUGGAUGAAAGGGGGGCUCCCGCUUGUGUAUUGAAAGUAAUAUGUUCUCUCGUCCUCGGUUGGGUUUUUCACUCUUCGUUAGUGCCUUAAUCUAUUCUGUUUCGUUAGCUAGACUUUCCCCUAUCUGGCACCCAGGCAUACGGGACUAGAUCGCUCCGGAAAGCCUUUUCUCUAGCAAUAGCUACCCAUUUCCAGAAGGAAUUGCCAUUAGACUUUCGAGUGAUCGUACCAUAGUUUAUAGAGAAAUGUUUUUGAUUCAUGGAAGAACUGGGCUUAUCUAUGCGCCCUUUAGCUUAGCAGGAGUGCUUCUUUGUUGUGCCAUAGCGUAACGAAAAGGAACCCUUUUUCCUUUCAUCAUCACUUUAUGCUCGCUUUCUUAGGAAAGCUGAACCAAUCAUGUGACUGACUCGACAUAAUCUUUUGUUGAGCUAUCAUAGGGAAGACGGCGAGCUACAAAGAAAGAAGAAAGUCAUAAGCGCUUAACUCGAGGGUUAUUGUCACUUAACUUCGUCAAGACACUUUAAAGGCAGGCUUGACGAGCGCUACUCCACUACUGUUUCGCCUCCACUCAAUCAGCCACUUAGGUUUGGCGAAGUGAACAUGAACGCGUUAGUGACGUAGCAAAUUAGAAUAACCAAGCCGGUAGCCCUCCCUUCCGAGCCAGUCUCCUUUUACCUUCACUACACUACUAUAGAUACAUAACUUCUUCUUCACUCCUACCUGAAUUCCUUCUUCACUCCUAUAGAUAUAUCUAAUUUCUUUCUCGAAUUUGUAGGAAGUGGUGCAUCUUGUGGUUGAGCCAGGGCGUGGUCAAAGGGAAGGUUUGAUUGUCAAGACUUGACAUGCGACUCAAUGCUAUUGAUCCCUAUCAUCCGAACGAAUGUCUUGUAUUGGUUUGGAUCAUCCGAGCGAGAUCACAUCUUAUUCUAUGCAAUUCUGUUUGUCAUUGAUCUGCGUACACACCGCUUCCACAGGUACAUGCACCACACCCCUAUCUAUCAAGUGAGGGAAGGGUGAAAAGAACCCCCAGAAGGUAUGGAUUCGGAAGUCUAGUUGUGAUUCGAUGGAGUGAUGGUGCCUCGUAUGAGACAUCGAACGGAACCUGCUGCCCGUAGUGCUUUACUUGAACAUGGAUUUGCCUUGAGGUUGCUUGCAUACUACUAGACGUAAACGAGUUGCUUCGCUUCCAUCGAGUGACGUACUCUUGACUGGAGAGCUACCCGCAUUGCCUUCCCGACUUAGCCUUCGAAUCAAGCUUGCCGACUUGACUUAGCCUUCGCCUUUCACUUGUUCAUCAUAAGUCAUACUAAACCAGACAUCUUUCACAGGGAUCCACUGAUGAGUAUAAAGCGAAGCUAACCUUGAAAAGUUCCACAUCGUCCUCCUCAUUCAAAGAUUUAUUGUUCACUAUAGAUAGGUUGAACCACGAGCUGCUGCUGGAGUGAAAGGACCGAGGCCCAAUUCCAUAGGGAUUAGAAAGACUAUCGAACUGAAGUCAGCUAGCCCACUGAACUUAUCUUCUUCUUCUACCCACUAAACGGAUCCCGUGCUUGAGCAUAAUUACAUUAUCCCUUUCCCUAUUUCUUUCUAGUUGAGACUCUCUUUCUCACAGGCCGUAGAUUGUAGGACUGGAUUGCUCCUUGCUUCUUCAAUGGAUUGUGGGACGGUAGAGACAUUGUUUCAAGUCAAAAGAAGCUUUCUCAGUCAAUAGCCUUCUUUAACUCGGCUUUGACUUCCCCGACAGACGAAAGAGCUUUGCUUCAAGCGGAUGAUGUUUCCUAACCCACCUGAAUCUCUCAUUCCUUCCUCAAUCUUAAUUUAAUAAAUAAUGCGAGCUUUCUUUCUAUCGCCGAUACUACUGCGCAAACAGAACUGAAAGUGCAAGGAUGCUGUCGACCAACAUCUCCAUAUUUUAUUUUCCUUCUUUCUGCUUUUUUUGCUAUUUCUAUUUUUUAUGUGUGUCCUGCUUCGGCAAGGGGAAGGGAAUACAAUUGACAGUUACAGUAAGCAGCAUAGCCCCUCUGAAGCUCUCUUUCAGCCAUCUCCGGGCAAGAUUUCAGGUCUCUUGGAAUUCUAGUUAUCUAGAUUUAGUAGAGCUUAUAUAUGUGUGGAUUUGGAAAGCUUCUAUCUUGCUAUUGCUUAUGAUUCCGGGGCCCUGGCCAUUUAUUCGACUUAAAACCAUUUCUGUCUCCCUGCUAUUUUAUUCUCUUUUUACCUAAAAACUCUCCAUCCGACUUAUAUUGAAGCAGAUUCCAAGAUAUUGCACGCAACAUAAGCGUUGUGCCUUUCUUUGUAGACCUCCACAGGGCUUUCCGAAGCAGAGCAAAUAGUAGACAAUCCGUUAACGUCAGUGAGGCUGGGUCCCCUGAUUUUCUAACUGACAUCUUUCUUUACUUAAUUGACUCUUUCUAAAACUUAAAUCGCGACGUUAGCUCAGCGGGUGACGAAUCAGAGGGGUAAUCUCAUUUGAGACUCAGCGCUUGCCUCUCUUUCUUUGUAUAGUAUGUUCGUGUGUUUGGGCGAGUGGACUCCGUGUGGUUAGCUGAAGCAGACAAUUUUAGUAUCCUAGCAGCUACAGCAGCAGAGAAAAGUCUCUGUUCACGUAUUCGCCUUAGGUUUAGGCAGUUAGAUGCCGUCGAAUUUGAAUUCCCAUUCAAUGAAGGUUUGACGCAGCAGGCUUGAUUAGGUAAGAGAUUGAAAGGCGUAUUUCAAGCAAACCUGUUAGCGAUGUACUUCUAAUUAGAUCAGUUAAGCCAUCCGUAAAGGUCAAGCCCUGUCACUCGACUUGGGAGAAUCAUUCUUUUUCUCAAAUCUUCUUAUUCUCCUGGCCAGUUCCUCUCCGCGAACUAUUAGAUCUAUCUUAGCUUUUUUAUGAGAAUACUAUAGAGUUACGAAGUAACGUAAGAGCGAUUAAGCGUAAGAGCGUAGUUUACGUAGCGUAAGACCUUUUUCUUUGAAAAAGCGAUAGCUAGAGCGAGCGGAAUACUUGAAGCGAGUAUAUAAAGAACUAGAGUAGAAAAAGCGACUAGUUGGAGAGAGGGGAAGAGCUUCACUCAAUCCCUGCCUUUGCAUCUUUCUUCUCUGAGCCCGGUAUCAAAAUGCUUGACUAUCUCCCCGAAUGAGACAGAUUUCCUCUCUCUGCUCUGGAAUCAGGAAGGAGAAUGUCACUAUGGGAAAAUAGAAUGAGCAUGCGUCGGCCUAUGCUCAGGGUCACUCUUUUCAUAUCUCACGCCCGUUGGCCACUAAAGCGAAGUGAUCAGACGCCCGUUGGCCACUAAAGCGUAGUGAUCAGAAUAUUAAUCCAACAGCAAAUAUCAUCUCAUCUCACGCCCGUUGGCCUGAUGUUCGAAAAGAGCGGAUUUGUUCAAGCAAGCUAAUCAAAUUUCCCUUUCUAGGGUAGGGUUACGGUACGAUGUCAUUACUCUCUUUUGCUCUCUCACCCCUUGAAGAAGAGCGAACAGCUGAUCUUUCCUGGUCCUUUCGAACCAGUCUUUCUAAACUUGGAAAAAUACUUUGGCUACGAUUCGAUCUCGAAAGCCCAGACUUCAUAAAAGGCGACUGCCUCUUCCACUGCUACAUGAACCAUCCGCUUCUUUUCCGAUGCUGCUUCAAAUAAGUGAAUAGAUCUUUGUGAUUCGGUUCCUUUUCCUUGGUGUGGAAAGAUCUCUGCCAUAAAACAAAAACAGAGAGCUCGUAGGCCUUGACCUUAUUGUAUAGUAUAGAAUAGAGGGAGGCAUUUUGGGCCGACUACUACGACUACAUGCGCAUCUAGUGCAGUGGCUUGGAAUAAAAACCUUGACCAUCUUCCGAAGUUCUAAAUAAUCUACUGAUCAAAGGCUGUAGGGGCGGACUGCUCUACAUUCAGCCACGCCACAGUGACCCCCGAAGCGAUCUUCUUCUAGUUGCGGGGCGAAAUCCGGCAUCCAAUUACUGGCUCUGAAUAACCGGCCCAGCAAUAAGUUAAGUUAAAUUCUUCCAUAACAUAACGGGGCGGGGUUGCGCGCGAGCCGAGUGACGUAGGUGCACAAGAGUACUUCGCGCCACAACCAUCUCUUUUUUAUAGGUUCUACGGACCGAUGCCUGCUGCUUCAUCUGGGAGAAAAGAAUCAUAGAUAUGCCGGUCAUUAGAAGGAAGAAUCGCCAUAAAAAGAUUCCUCGUGUAUCAUCUGUAGCAAAACUAUGAACGGGAGCUAGCAAUCCGGACCGUAUUGAAAAGGUUCCUGAGACACAGCAUGGAAGAGUCACAAUAUUAAGAAACGAGGUCCAAGAAUGAAGAAGGGGUAGAAUUACUGAAUGAAUACGAGCUGUGGCUAAUACCCGAGGCAUAAAAGAAGCAUUUUCUACGGGAUCCCGAAACCACCAGCCACCCCGACCUAAUUCAUGAUAAGCCCACCAACUUCCUGGCAAGAUGCCUACGGUUAAAAACCACCAACAUGUCAAGAUCCAAAUUCGAAUUGGUUCCUGGUCCUGGUCAGGGACCACUGUGUUCGCGCCGGCGGUCCAACAAAGAGGCGAAGUAGUGGUAUCUUUCUUUCCAUUACGAACGACACGCUUCGCCUGCGCCCUCCCCGUGUUCACUAGCGCUCCUGUGCAGAGCGAAGAGAAGGCGAAAAAGCACCGCCGAAGCAGCAUGGGCGGGCUUCUAUUGCUACGUAACAAUAGAGCAGGAUAGCAUUUAGCGCCCACAUGUUUGGUAAGAAGCUCGCUUGUUAUACGGGAUCCGACGCAUCCAGCAGAGCGAAGCAGCGUUCCAUUCUUUUCGGCGGCAUCCUUUCGCAUUGGCGGCGAGUGGAGUGCCACAAUCCCAUUCAUCAUUUUGGAUCUACAUAAGCCAAAGCCCAUAGCACUGGCGACGUCUCCGGCAUAAAUGCAAGGAGGAUGUAUAGCUGAUAUAGGAUCUUGUGGAACAGGAUUUGAUUCUGCAAGCGGUUCGGUACGAACGAAGAAAUUUCGAACAAAAGGAUCGGAACUCGCUGAUAGGAAAGGAGAGAAAAACAAAGCAAUGCCAAGAACUCCGUCAAUCCGCUGUUCAUCGAUAGACGAAGCUCUCUCUUUAUCAUCUCGUGCCAGAUGCAACAAAGGAUGAGUUCUUUUUCCUUCUCGCGAACCACGGGAGCGCCUAGCGCCCAGAGGACUAUGGAUUUUCCUUUCAGGGUAAAGCGGCGCAUAAAAAAGGGUUGGUCCGUCAAAAGCAAAAGUCCGGCUCCUUCGCGAACGAAGUUCAGAAUCAACAAGGGUUCGUAGAACGAAGGGAGUGUACAACUGGAAAAACCCACUUUUUUGUUCGUAACGAGGGAGAGAUAGAAUGGAGUUCUUCACGAAGUUCGAGACAAAAAAAAAAAAAAGUUUCUCUAUGGCCUCCUCGUUUUGAGACAUUAUGGCUUUGGGGUCGACCCCGGUAACAAAGAAGGAAUCCAUAAAAAUUGGGGAUCCAACACCAUGAUAAAAUACUACCCUCAUGAUUAGACCAUGUCCCUGAGAUUUGAUAAAAGAAAGGUGCAUUAGCGGUUAAUACGUUGUAAUUGGAUAAGUUAUUAGGAAUAUGACGGAACGAAAGACCAAGGAAAGAAAGAAGAAUGCACCAAAAUGCAGGUGCUGCACCAAACGCUGGUGGUUGUUUCUUGUUGUAAGUGAAUGCAAGGAAAAGACCCGGAAAUAACGAAUAAUGAAACAAUUCAUAUAUUGACAUUUCGUGCUCAUUUCCAAAUUUCUGCUUUUUUAUUCCCAUCAUCCGGUAACCACAGGAUGAUCCACAAGAAAGGUGGCAGGAUUCGAACCUAUGGCCGGCCCGACCCUGACCUGCUGAGUUGGGUGGCCGGGUUAGCACCCCUCGUCGCCUCUGUACCCGAAACAGAUGCGCUGCGCUACCCAGCGCUACACCUUGUCUCCCCUACCCCUCUUCUGGUUAUGCCAUUACCAAUCCAGGUAACCCCCGGACCGGCCGCCCCAGACCUAAUAAGAACGAUUAUCCUUAUGACCAAACAAGGACCAGCUUACUUACUUCUCAAGCGAUAGUUCCACGAUCCCGACCAGCAACUUGUUGUGAGUAGGGGCAUCCAAGCUUGCCCAACCUAGUAAAGGGGCUUGGAGAUAGAGGGGAUGAAAUCUAACCUUUGCAUCGAUGUUUAGCAGGGUGGGUCGCUUGAGUGUCAAAACCAAGCGGUGGUUGUUUGUUUUUCCUUGGCUUAUCGAACCAGCGUAUGCCUAUUCCUCCUUUGAUGACUCCCAGUAGAGAAAGCCUAAAUUUGCCGAUGUGGAUUGAAAGGAAGUUGUGGAUGAACAUAGAUCCUUCCACCUAUCCGGAGUGUUGGAAAGAAAGCAAUGGUUUUUGUAUUUAUUAUUUCCCGAUCACUGGAAGCAAUCUUCAUUAGCACAAGGAUCCCCUCACAGCAACCUCCACUACAAUAGAACCCGACAAUGAGUUUACGAAGGCUUCGAGUAGUGCGAGAUAGGCUAAUCACCAGACUACUCUGGAAUAGGUUAAUCGCCGGAGACAAGAACGAGUUAAUCUAGUUUCGAGAACAUGCCUUACUAUACUAUAGGGCGUAGAGUUUCUAAGUGAAGGCAAGCGCAACUAUAAUUAUCUAUUUCAUAUCCUCCCUGUCAGCGGGGCAGGUCCGCUAUAAAGCCUACCGGCCAGAAAGUCCUCAAGAACGGGAAAGCCGAUCAAAAGACUAUUCCAUAACCGACUCUUGUUGCCGAAUCGAGGGGGCUUGGCUUGUACCAGGCUCUAAAAGAGUUUUCUUCGAGUGAGCAGUCUUUCUAUCCUUUUUUUGGGGUUGCAUGCCUAAGGCAAUGUUUUUCGUUUUUGUAGAUUGAGAUGGAUUGAUCUUCGCUAUCGUGCCUCUUCCUUGUACCAGUGGAUGCUGCGGCAGUGCCUAAUAUGAGUUUGCUCCUGCCUCCUGCCUCAGACAGCUUCGAGUUUCCCAUCGAUCGAUUACAGAGGUUUCCACCACUGAACUUGCUUAUGCUCCCCUUUGAUCGAGUGCUAUUUCUAUAAAUAUAAAAAAGAUUGAGUAGGAAAAACUGGAAUUGGCUUUAAUCGAGAUUGCCUCGGUUUCUUAGGCACAUGAGGAAGCGGAAGCGGUCUAACAUCUUUUCAAUCGAAAUCCCAAUCAAAGACAAGUUCUACCAAGGCCAGGAUCUGAAAGAGAAGAUUCACUUUACGGAAUUCCAAGUGACAUGAUUCCUUCAGAAGCUAAAGUGGAAUGAUCGAAGUCUCCUUCAGGUUCAGUCGAAGAGAUCGAACGAAGCCUUUUUUUACCAUGAACCUGCCACCUCAACUCUUGCAAUGGAGAAUGAGGACUUUCCAUUUAUCUGAUUCUUCCCAGCGGGAAAACAUAGCUCCCUCGGGAUUUCGAUCUCCAUGCCCUGUAGGGAAAGGCUUAACUAUGACUCAUGUAGGUUAAGAGGCUAUCCCUACAAAAAGAAAAUGUCUAUCGCUUCAUCCGUUCAGAACGUCGACCUCGCUCCGAGCAAGCAUCGAAGGAAUUCCGGGUAGGACUCAAGGAAUUGAACCCAGAUAGGAUAGAUACAGCCUGUUACCUUCCGAUCCAAUUACCGAAGGGUAACUAGGCCGAGUAAGAAGACACUUUGGGAUGAUUUGCAUUUGCCGCUGGCCGAGUUAGUCACGAAGUUGAGAUCCACCUAUUUAUUAUAUAGGGUAGGGUGACCCGCCUGGAUAGCACUGUUGAUCCCGACCUCAGAUAAUAUUGGUGACGACUUGGCGGCUCUUUCUCCCGAAUCUGAUUGAUAUCGAAUCAACUAUCGAAAAUGAACUAAACUAUAAGCAUAGGCGGGCACCUGACCUGCCAAACGUAUUGUAUUAUUCUCCCUGCCAAGUUUACUACCCGCUAACGGAUCCGAUAAGAGACUCCAAUAGCUAGAGUACUCUUCGCUACCGGUACCGAAAAAUAAGGCAGGAAGGGCUUUCAUUCAUAACGAGUAAGUGCCCCGGCAGUCUCUCAUUCAGACAUUGGAAAAAACACUUUCUUCUAAGAUGGUGACGGCGCAAGCAAAUACAUUCUCCGUGCCUUUAACCCUACGCAGAAGAUACUUAUGGUCACUGCUAACCCUGGUAAGGAUGUAUUGUAUCAUGAGAAGGUAAUUGUGCCAAGUAUGGGCUCACGCUCUUCGCAGUCCUCGAUAGGAAGGGAAAAAUCCCCAAAUUGCCACAGACAAUGCGUCAUUGGAGAGGAUGAAAUGGUUUAGGCUCGCGAUAGGGAGCUCCCGGACGCAUACGCAUAAAGGCAUCCAUAUCGGCUUGCGCUCUUCUCUUACUUGAAGCGGCAUGACAGAGUCACUUAGCUCGACGUUAGGAGAGUCAAGGAGGAAAGGAAAGGAUUUCAGGCUCAGUGAAUGCCUCUAUAACGUUGUCAUGAAUUAUACCUGAAUGUGUAUACACGGAAACCCGAGGUCUCUCAUGGGGCAUUCAAGCGCCUCUUUAAGCAUAUUGGCAAACUCUGGUGAGCAGCAAUUGAACUGAACGUUCCAAGUGCAUCCAGCAGGAAUCGAACCUACGAAUUUGCCUCUUUAUUAGGUUGGUAUAGGUUGGGCGCUUUAACCAUUCAGCCAUGGAUGCAAAGAGACUCAGCGAGUGAACUAGGUUUUGGUAUUCCUUCUCGAGCUUCGAUUUCUUCCGUUAAAGGAGAUUCGAGAAAAGAUGGAAUAGGAAGACGUGUUUCCAGAACAAAGAAGAUACGGGUUGAAAAGGGGGAGUUAGCAAAGUUAGACAAGAUUGGAAUGAGCAUAGGAACGUGUAUUGAUGUACCAGAUCGGCUAAUGCUCCCAGGUUGAUGCGAUGUAUUCCACCAGUUGACUGAAGACUUGAUUAUUGGUAUAUCGAUCGGUCCAGCACGAAUUGAAAUAGAAGCUGGUUCGACAGGAAGCUUUUGAAAACGCAGUGCACCCAGGUAAAUAAGGAACGAGAUGAAUACAGAGGUUAAACGAGCAUCCCACACCCAAAAGGUGCCCCACAUAGGUCUUCCCCGAAACCCCCUAGUAACUAAGGUAAACAACGUAAAAAAAGCACCCAUUUCUAUACCGGUUCCGAAAGAGCGAAGAAAAAGGGGAUGCUUUGUUAAUAGGAACAAGAAAGUGUUUAUAGCCGUAGCGAUAUAAACAAGAAUACUCAUCCGAGCCGCAGGAACAUGUACAUACAGAAUACGAGAAUUUCCACCUUGUUGAAAAUCUAGUGGUGCUACCCGAAGACUUAAAUGAAUAGCCAUCGCUGUUAAGAACAACCAAGAUCCAAUGAUAAUUUUCGCAUAGCUUCUGGUCUUUGACAUAAAAAAAGAAGGUUGUAAUAACGAAACUGACAUGUGAGAAUUUGGUCCUAGCUAGUGGAACAAGAAAGACAUGGAUCUAUAUUCAAUACGCAAUCAAAGGAUUUCCCCCAACGAAGAAUUCUCCCUGCUUUGCUUUGUUUUCGCUCCGCUCGUGCGUGGCACUCCUUGCUCGCGGAGCGGCAUACCGAAAAAAGAAAGGUUUUGGAAGAAAAAAAAGUAAAUUGCCCAAUGUUUCUAUUAAGUCAAUUAAAUUCCAUCCAGCUCGAGUUCCUUAUUAUAUAACGCUUCCAUCAGUCUCUGAUAAGGAAGGCUACGGUGCGUCCCAUGGUUCUCCAUUAUAUUCAUGUGUUUAGUGUAAGUUUGUAAUGAUAAUGCCUUACCAUUAGGGUAGAAGAGGAUGCCCCUUAUCUGGUGCCUUUUAUACAUGAGGGAAUCCUCGGAAAACCUGUCCGAACGAAGUGCUUUCUCUAUCUUUAGUUCCAUCAGGAAUUGGGUUUCCAAAAUGGACUCGCGAACUUCGUCAGAUAAAGAACGUCCUAGACUGUUAAUACCAAGACGAUCGUUGAGUUCUUGGCGCCUCUGUCCGCCCUCCAGUAACGGGUGAUAAACCUCCGCAAUAGGCGCUGCGGGUUCACCAGGAUUGGGAGAGGUCGGGUCCGGUUGGUUUACGCUGGUCUCGGAAUUACCAGUGGAACUGCUUCCAAAUAAAUCGGUCCACCUGAAGCCCCUUCCUCCAGCGCCCUCACCUGAUCCUGAGCCAGAGGCCCCCGAAGGAGCCAUCAUGUUACACGAAAUGUUACACGAUUCUGAAAUGAAUAAUUUCAGAGACCAUGCAACGGCCAAGGCUAGCCCACCUGAGAAGCCCAUCUUGAUCAAUAAAGACGAGAUGGUGCGGCUUCCCGCGGCUAUGAAUGCCUUAGAAAGGAAAAACGGAAAUAGUUCCAUUUUGCCAAGAAGCAUAAAGAUGGAAGAAGAUAGAGUGAUAAAGGCAACGAGGAGCAGACACGGGUAGAAUUUUCCACUAUAGAAACAACGGACCUUAUUUGUCAUAAAAUUGAGAUGAAAACAAUGAAACCUUUUUGAAAACCGCUUUUUCAUCUCUUUUUACUUACCAGUUUUUCAGUCUUUUUCGCCACAUAGGAGCUUUGGGAAUUGAACCCAAGACAGACCCUUGCCCCUUUCUCGUACUUCGUACUUUUUGCUUUUGUUCACAUACGCUUUUUUUGUGGGGCGGUGACUGAAACAUUUCCUUUAUGUUGAUAGAAACAACAAGAGAAAGGCCAUUCACUGAACACCAAGCCAAUCUCGAUGAAAGUCAAAGCAGCCUUCGGACCCUGACGUGAACGGACGCUUUGUCAUUAGAGUGUGUUAAAAAAAACGAGAAAGCUUUUUUCUUUUUUUUGUUUACUCAACCCGUAAAGACAAACAAAAAAGGGAUCCGCCUCGAAUCAAAACGUUCUUUCUUUUC